Molecule: transfer RNA, 95 nt
Filed under: Tilletia walkeri
Lineage: Eukaryota; Fungi; Basidiomycota; Exobasidiomycetes; Tilletiales; Tilletiaceae
Rfam family: tRNA
About the family: Transfer RNA (tRNA) molecules are approximately 80 nucleotides in length.
Source: Rfam by way of RNAcentral
GGCGCGAUGUCCGAGUGGUUAAGGAGAUUGAUUAGAAAUCAUAAUAACGUAUCAAUUAGGUUUCACCUGCGCAGGUUCGAAUCCUGUUCGCGUCG